Molecule: ribosomal RNA, 407 nt
Filed under: uncultured Nocardioides sp.
Lineage: Bacteria; Bacillati; Actinomycetota; Actinomycetes; Propionibacteriales; Nocardioidaceae
Also listed under: 1 other name
Description: bacterial SSU rRNA
Rfam family: Bacterial small subunit ribosomal RNA
Source: RNAcentral
UGGGGAAUAUUGGACAAUGGGCGGAAGCCUGAUCCAGCAACGCCGCGUGAGGGAUGACGGCCUUCGGGUUGUAAACCUCUUUCAGCACAGACGAAGCGCAAGUGACGGUAUGUGCAGAAGAAGGACCGGCCAACUACGUGCCAGCAGCCGCGGUAAUACGUAGGGUCCGAGCGUUGUCCGGAAUUAUUGGGCGUAAAGGGCUCGUAGGCGGUUUGUCGCGUCGGGAGUGAAAACACCGGGCUUAACUCGGUGCUUGCUUUCGAUACGGGCAGACUAGAGGUAUUCAGGGGAGAACGGAAUUCCUGGUGUAGCGGUGAAAUGCGCAGAUAUCAGGAGGAACACCGGUGGCGAAGGCGGUUCUCUGGGAAUAUCCUGACGCUGAGGAGCGAAAGUGUGGGGAGCGAACA